AACGAACGCUGGCGGCAUGCCUAACACAUGCAAGUCGAACGAAACGUUCAGGUGUUGGGUCGCACGAGUUCGUAACGCGUGGGGACCUGCCCUUAGGGUCAAACUACCUCCCCGACAGGGAUACUAAUAGCGGAUCAUAGCUUCGGACGGAAGAUUUAUCGCCUUUGGAUGUGCCAUCGUUGGAUUAGCUAGUUGGUAGGGUAAAAGCUUCCCAAGGGGACCAUCCAUAGCUUGUCUGAGAGGAUGAUCAGCCACACUGGGACUGAGACACGGCCCAGACUCCUACGGGAGGCAGCAGUGGUGAACAUUGGACCAUGGGCGAAAGCCUGAUCCAGCAAUGCCGCGUGAGUGAUGAAGGCCUUAGGGUUGUAAAGCUCUUUUACCCGGGAUGAUAAUGACAGUACCGGGAGAAUAAGCUCCGGCUAACUCCGUG
Molecule: ribosomal RNA, 433 nt
Filed under: uncultured bacterium
Lineage: Bacteria
Description: partial 16S ribosomal RNA
Rfam family: Bacterial small subunit ribosomal RNA
Source: RNAcentral